This is a ribosomal RNA of Erinaceus europaeus (western European hedgehog), 116 nucleotides long. The record is from Ensembl. NCBI's taxonomy places the organism in Eukaryota, Metazoa, Chordata, Mammalia, Eulipotyphla, Erinaceidae.
GUCUAUGUUCAUCCCACCGUGAACAUGCCCAACCUCAUCUGAUCUCAGAAGUUAAGCAGGGUUGGGCCUGGUUAGUACUUGGCUGGGAGGACUCCAGAGACUGCUUUCACUAGCUC